GCGCUCGAAGAGGGGCCUGCGGCGGAUUAGCUAGUCGGUGGGGUCACGGCCUACCGAGGCGACGAUCCGUAGCUGGUCUGAGAGGAUGAUCAGCCACACUGGGACUGAGACACGGCCCAG
Molecule: ribosomal RNA, 120 nt
Filed under: uncultured bacterium
Lineage: Bacteria
Description: partial 16S ribosomal RNA
Rfam family: Bacterial small subunit ribosomal RNA
Source: RNAcentral